UGCGCUAAAGCUCGUAGUUGGAUUUGUGGCUGUCACGGGCGGCCUAUCACUUAGUGUUAGUGCUUGCCUGUGUCGCCAUCCUUGGGUGGAGCCCGUGUGGCAUUAGGUUGUCGUGCGGGGGAUGCCCAUCGUUUACUGUGAGAAAAUUAGAGUGUUCAAAGCAGGCUUAUGCCGUUGAAUAUGUUAGCAUGGAAUAAUAAGAUAGGACCUCGGUACUAUUUUGUUGGUUUGCGCACCGAGGUAAUGAUUAAUAGGGACAGUUGGGGGUAUUCGUAUUCCAUUGUCAGAGGUGAAAUUCUUGGAUUUCUGGAAGACGAACUACUGCGAAAGCAUUUACCAAGGAUGUUUUCAUUAAUCAAGAACGAAAGUUAGGGGAUCGAAGAUGAUUAGAUACAUUCGUAGUCA
This 405-nucleotide ribosomal RNA is filed under the name Bacillariophyta sp. RNAcentral's name for it is "SSU rRNA". It matches the Rfam family "Eukaryotic small subunit ribosomal RNA", at positions 623 to 1026 of the family's 1831-position model. The record is from RNAcentral. Lineage: Eukaryota; Bacillariophyta.